GAUUCUUCACAACGAAUAUCUCGGCUCAUGCAUCGAUGAAAAGCGUAGCAAAAUGCGAUACUCGGUGUGAAUUGAAGAAUCCCGUGAACCAUCGAGUCUUUGAACGCAAGUUGCGCUCAAAGCCAUUAGGUUGAGGGCAUGUCUGCCUUGGGCGUCU
Molecule: non-coding RNA, 157 nt
Organism: Camellia sinensis
Lineage: Eukaryota; Viridiplantae; Streptophyta; Magnoliopsida; Ericales; Theaceae
Source: RefSeq, a predicted model, not a curated record